ACCAGCCUGAGGCUUCAUUUUCAAGGACACACCAGGCAAGCGGGCACCCUACGUGAACGUUUGGCCAGACGGACGAGUGAAUGAACGCUGCCCAGGCCCCAGAGAACAUUCCACUCCCCCGCCUGAUGAUCAUCUAUUCGUGGCCAUGAUAAGAUGUGGAACAACAGUUUCAAGAGCAGAUGUCAACACCAGAACCAGAAUCAUCCAGAUUCAUGACCGAAUGUAAGACACAUUCAGAGCCUCUCAUCUGAUGUUCUGAGUAAAGACUGGCCAAGGUCUUAUCCCUACCUCA
RNAcentral lists this long non-coding RNA (292 nucleotides) under Rattus norvegicus (Norway rat). RNAcentral's name for it is "long non-coding RNA NONRATT017465". The record is from RNAcentral. Lineage: Eukaryota; Metazoa; Chordata; Mammalia; Rodentia; Muridae.